Molecule: RNA transcript, 3487 nt
Organism: Solenopsis invicta (red fire ant)
Lineage: Eukaryota; Metazoa; Arthropoda; Insecta; Hymenoptera; Formicidae
Gene name: transposable element P transposase
Exons: 8
Source: RefSeq, a predicted model, not a curated record
GGUUCUCCAUCCUUGACACGGCACUGAACGUGCGAAUAAUGAGAGCGAUCGACGGGAUAGAGCGAGAGCAACGAAAACGGAUUCGCUAACUUAUCGUGAUAGAGAUGGAAAUUGAUGGGAGCGGACAAGAAGGAAAACUGAGUGAUCACUCACGUCGUUUUGACAGUUCGAAAAAAAUAUCUUUAAUAACAGUCAAUAUUAACAACACCUCUGUCUCGUUUGCGCUUAAAGUUUAUAUCAGAGUGCACACUGAGAUGAUCUGACGGGCGCACUUUUACUCCCGAUACUCUUAAGGUGCGAUUUCACGUAAAUAUAAUAUCCAGAUAUUUAUUCCCACUCUAUCGAAAUUCCCCAUACCCAUAUCUGGAUCACGGUCUUGUAUACAGGUCAGGGCACUCAUAUACUAUUUUCAUAUAAUCUGUGUGAGCGAAGUGACGCCAAUAUGGCGACCAUAAUAGGCCGACGCGCAAGCGCAGUUGACAUGUUUUGACAGACAGCAUCGUGCCGUAUAUUUGUGGCUGUUUAGCACACGGUCUCUUCGUAUAAAAAGAAAAUAUGCCUAACAAAUGUAUAGUACCUGGUUGUAAUACAGGUUAUGCUACUUGCAAAAUAAAAUUAUCAGUGUUUUCUGCACCAAAAGAUGAUGAACGAAGAAAAGAGUGGGAGGAAAAGCUUCAAUUAAUAAAGCCAUUGUUGACAAAACAUUUUGUGUGUGAAAAACACUUCCGCACAGAAGAUAUAAUAAAAAGCUAUAAACACAAGGAAGAAAAAAGCAAUGUGCUUCUCGAGAUUCCGAAUAAACGAGCUCAACUGGUAAAGGACGCAGUACCAAUAGCAAUAUCGCCGCAACAUAUAGGCAAUAAAGAAAACUUGCAGGAAAAUGAAAAUAUUACAGAUGAACAGCUUAACAUAGUUCCAAUAUCAUAACCUUUGAUAGAAGUAUCACAGAAUUUGAUAGAAGAUACUAAAAAGUACCAGAGGCGCGAAACUGUUAUUGAACAUAAUAAUUUGUUUACGGAACUACUGAAUAAUCCAUCUGUGAUAAAAAUACCGACAAAUUGGUAUUGUACAUCAUCCAAAAAACAAAUUGUACUUUUCGAGAUUUAUCUGCAAAAUUAUGAUGAUAUAUCCAUAUAUCCUACUACACGAAGAAGCUUGACCAUUGAUCACAACAUGAAAACUCUUUACUUGAUAAGUGGCAAACGUGUAAAUCUGUCAGUGUUCUCAUUUUCUAAUAAAUUUGAAAACUUAGAAAAUAUUAAUGACACAGUUAAAAAAUUUGCAAGCUUAAAUAUUUGUUGCGGUAUUUCUAUGAAUGAUGAUGUAAAUUUAGUGAAAGGAAAUAUUGGGUACACCAAUAAUUCAUUUGAGUUGCGACAUAAUAAAUGUCCAAUCAUUACGGAUGGAAGACAAUGUGAAACCUGCAAGAGCGUGAAAAAAUGUAUUUUACGAAAAAAACAACGAAUCCGAAAGCGUUCACAGAUUUGCAACAAAAAAAAACAACGAUCGAACAUCAAACAUUAUCAUUAUCAUCUCUAUGGAAAAAAAAGUUUCAUCGCCAACAGUGUGCCUUAAAACGUUCAAAAAUACGACUUGAGACUUUGAAAAAAUUAGUUCUCUCUCAACAGGCAAAAAUAAAUAAGCUUAAAGAGGAAGAUGUAAUCCAAAAAUGUGAGGUAUUAGAUAUGCCAGAAAUACAAAAAACGUGCAUAAAGGAAAUUAUGGCUGCAGCUCGACUAACAAAUUCGAAAGGGCGUCGAUACACAAACGAUUGGAUUAUGCUCUGCAUUCUUAUGCAUAUUCGGUCACCGAUAAAUAUAAAAUGUGGAUUUGAUAAACACUUUUGUGAGAUUUUUAAGAAAUUCAUUGAAAAAAAAACGUCACUACAGAAACACGGACUUUUAUUAAUCGACGAAAUCUCAUUGCGGGAAUCUAUUUCCGUAAACUCAUCAAACUUAACAUAUAAAGGACUUGUCGAUUUUGGUGAAGAUGGCAAGAAAGCUAAAUGUUUAGACGAAAAAGCAACAAGCGGUUUAGUCUUAAUGUUUCAACCGCUUGCCGAUAAGUACACGCAGUCAAUCGCAGUAUUUGCUUCUCGUGGUCCUGUCAAAGGAGUAGAACUAGCUAAAUUGGUUAUUCAAGCGAUCAUUUUCCUCGAAAAUGCUGGUGUCUUAGUUCAUGGAAUUAUAUCUGAUGGUGCGGAAACUAAUAGAAAAAUGUGGAGCGAGUUAGGAGUGUGUGGAAAAAUGGAUAAUUUAAAAAACUGGUUCAUACAUCCUGUCAAUGAUGAACGAAAAGUUUUCGCUUUCUCUGACACACCACAUUUAAUAAAAUGCAUUAGAAAUAGAUUGUGCUCGAAAGAUAAGCGCUUGAGGCUGGACCCUAACAAAUCCUUCGUACAAUGGAAGCAUUUUGAGGCUCUGUAUGAUAUAGACAAAUCAGUUUCAACAACGCAACUGCGCGUGUGCCCAAAACUUACUCUCAACCAUUUGGAGUUAUCUAAUACGUCUAAGAUGAAAGUGAGAUUGGCAACUCAGAUAUUUAGUAACUCAAUUGUAUAUGGCUUGAAAUUCUACAAAGCACGUGGUGUCCCUGAAUUACAGGAUUGCGAAGCCACAAUUGAUUUUUGCCAACGGCUUAAUGAUUUGUUUGAUGCACUCAAUCGCAAAAUCCCGAAUGAAGGAGUCACAUCCUCUGGAAAUGAUUUUAAAAUUCUGCAAUCAUCUCUCGAAUGGCUCAACUGUUGGGAAAAUUACUUCCGAAAUGGAAAAAUAAAAGGAUCGGAAUUCUUAAUGAGCAACACAGCGGAGGGUCUACGUGUCACAAUUCAAUCUACUAUCGAUAUUUGUGAAACAUUAACUACAACGUAUAAUUUUAAAUAUAUAUUAACUGGACGAAUUAACCAGGAUUCAUUAGAGAAAUUUUUCGGAAUAAUCCGCCAAGCUGCAGGAGCCAACGAUCAUCCUUCGACCCCAACAUUCCUCCAAUUAUAUAAAUUGUUAUCAAUAUAUAGCACUUUGAAACCACCUGCGAGCGGAAAUUGCACCAUCACAAAAACAUAUCCGAAAACUCUCACCCUAUCUGAGUUAAAAGACAUUUACGACAAACCAACUAAAAUCUCUAUGACAAAUUUGAAAGCAAAAUUGGAUGAGUUAAUUGAAGAAAAUGAGUGGGAAUUUGAUGAUGUCGUCUAACAUGAUUAUUCUCAUGCAGCGGUUGUCGACUGUAUAAUUUACUACGUGACAGGAUACGUCUGCAAACAAAUAGAAAAGCAUUUUGCUUGUGAUACGUGUAAGAUAGCUAUACGAAUACCUAAAGCCUUCUCCCAGAUACCCUGUGCUGAAAUUGUCAAUUUAAAAUCAAGAGGUUUUUUAAUCCAUUCUAAUAUAAAUUUUUUUUUAUUACUUCGAGAAGUCGAAGGUUAUUUCUCAAAGCAUGUAUCUUCCCCAAAUGUUUAUGAAGAGACAGUUAAUGAAAUGUUAAAUAA